CAGUCGAGGGGUAGAGGAAGCUUGCUUCCUUGAGACCGGCGCACGGGUGCGUAACGCGUAUGCAAUCUACCUUGUACAGGGGGAUAGCCCAGAGAAAUUUGGAUUAAUACCCCAUAGUAUUAUUGAAUGGCAUCAUUUAAUUAUUAAAGUUCCAACGGUACAAGAUGAGCAUGCGUCCUAUUAGCUAGUUGGUGUGGUAACGGCACACCAAGGCUACGAUAGGUAGGGGUCCUGAGAGGGAGAUCCCCCACACUGGUACUGAGACACGGACCAGACUCCUACGGGAGGCAGCAGUGAGGAAUAUUGGACAAUGGGCGCAAGCCUGAUCCAGCCAUGCCGCGUGCAGGAAGAAGCAUCUAUGGUGUGUAAACUGCUUUUGUACGGGAAGAAACACUGCUACGUGUAGCAGCUUGACGGUACCGUAAGAAUAAGGAUCGGCUAACUCCGUGCCAGCAGCCGCGGUAAUACGGAGGAUCCAAGCGUUAUCCGGAAUCAUUGGGUUUAAAGGGUCCGUAGGCGGUCUAAUAAGUCAGUGGUGAAAGCCCAUCGCUCAACGAUGGAACGGCCAUUGAUACUGUUAGACUUGAAUUAUUGGGAAGUAACUAGAAUAUGUAGUGUAGCGGUGAAAUGCUUAGAUAUUACAUGGAAUACCAAUUGCGAAGGCAGGUUACUAUCAAUAUAUUGACGCUGAUGGACGAAAGCGUGNGGAGCGAACAGGAUUAGAUACCCUGGUAGUCCACGCCGUAAACGAUGGAUACUAGCUGUUCGGAGCAAUCUGAGUGGCUAAGCGAAAGUGAUAAGUAUCCCACCUGGGGAGUACGUUCGCAAGAAUGAAAC
Molecule: ribosomal RNA, 837 nt
Filed under: uncultured bacterium
Lineage: Bacteria
Description: bacterial SSU rRNA
Rfam family: Bacterial small subunit ribosomal RNA
Source: RNAcentral